This 585-nucleotide ribosomal RNA is filed under the name Rhodococcus opacus. RNAcentral's name for it is "bacterial SSU rRNA". It matches the Rfam family "Bacterial small subunit ribosomal RNA", at positions 366 to 961 of the family's 1533-position model. The record is from RNAcentral. Lineage: Bacteria; Bacillati; Actinomycetota; Actinomycetes; Mycobacteriales; Nocardiaceae.
GCACAAUGGGCGAAAGCCUGAUGCAGCGACGCCGCGUGAGGGAUGACGGCCUUCGGGUUGUAAACCUCUUUCAGCAGGGACGAAGCGAAAGUGACGGUACCUGCAGAAGAAGCACCGGCCAACUACGUGCCAGCAGCCGCGGUAAUACGUAGGGUGCAAGCGUUGUCCGGAAUUACUGGGCGUAAAGAGCUCGUAGGCGGUUUGUCGCGUCGUCUGUGAAAACUCGAGGCUCAACCUCGAGCUUGCAGGCGAUACGGGCAGACUUGAGUACUGCAGGGGAGACUGGAAUUCCUGGUGUAGCGGUGAAAUGCGCAGAUAUCAGGAGGAACACCGGUGGCGAAGGCGGGUCUCUGGGCAGUAACUGACGCUGAGGAGCGAAAGCGUGGGUAGCGAACAGGAUUAGAUACCCUGGUAGUCCACGCCGUAAACGGUGGGCGCUAGGUGUGGGUUUCCUUCCACGGGAUCCGUGCCGUAGCUAACGCAUUAAGCGCCCCGCCUGGGGAGUACGGCCGCAAGGCUAAAACUCAAAGGAAUUGACGGGGGCCCGCACAAGCGGCGGAGCAUGUGGAUUAAUUCGAUGCAACG